GAAAUGCGAUACUUGGUGUGAAUUGCAGAAUCCCGUGAA
RNAcentral lists this ribosomal RNA (39 nucleotides) under Panax quinquefolius. RNAcentral describes it as "partial 5.8S ribosomal RNA". Lineage: Eukaryota; Viridiplantae; Streptophyta; Magnoliopsida; Apiales; Araliaceae. The record is from RNAcentral.